This 492-nucleotide ribosomal RNA is filed under the name uncultured bacterium. RNAcentral describes it as "partial 16S ribosomal RNA". It matches the Rfam family "Bacterial small subunit ribosomal RNA", at positions 29 to 507 of the family's 1533-position model. The record is from RNAcentral.
AGUGAACGCUGGCGGUAGGCCUAACACAUGCAAGUCGAACGGCAGCACAGUAAGAGCUUGCUCUUACGGGUGGCGAGUGGCGGACGGGUGAGGAAUACAUCGGAAUCUACUUUUUCGUGGGGGAUAACGUAGGGAAACUGACGCUAAUACCGCAUACGACCUACGGGUGAAAGCAGGGGAUCUUCGGACCUUGCGCGAAUGAAGGAGCCGAUGUCGGAUUAGCUAGUUGGCGGGGUAAAGGCCCACCAAGGCGACGAUCCGUAGCUGGUCUGAGAGGAUGAUCAGCCACACUGGAACUGAGACACGGUCCAGACUCCUACGGGAGGCAGCAGUGGGGAAUAUUGGACAAUGGGCGCAAGCCUGAUCCAGCCAUACCGCGUGGGUGAAGAAGGCCUUCGGGUUGUAAAGCCCUUUUGUUGGGAAAGAAAAGCAGCAGGUUAAUACCCCGCUGUUCUGACGGUACCCAAAGAAUAAGCACCGGCUAACUUCGUG